AACCCUUCAGCAGCUAGUAUAAGAAGUCUGGACAGUAGAAAUAGAGGGAAGAAGAUAAUUCAAGGAUUUUUGUACUUUUCUGACCUGUAUCUGAAGCUGUUUCUUUCUGGAAUGAAAAACCAUGAUGUGAGGAUAAUGAAGACUGAUUGUGUGCCUUGAUGCCAUUUCUCUGUCAUCUUGGAACUUGAAGGAAAUCUCAGAGGAUCAGAAAAUGCAAGGAAGCAUGGACAAUUUCCAAGAAGAGGGCGCUCAGGAAGUCACUGUAACACUUUUUGAUGACAUGGAAACUGAAAACAAAGUGAAACAAAAGUU
RNAcentral lists this long non-coding RNA (312 nucleotides) under Dromaius novaehollandiae (emu). Its description in RNAcentral is "lncRNA (ENSDNVG00000010966.1)". The record is from RNAcentral. Lineage: Eukaryota; Metazoa; Chordata; Aves; Casuariiformes; Dromaiidae.